AACGUAGGACACAAGCGUUAUCCGGAAUUACUGGGCGUAAAGGGAGUGCAGGCGGUUGUGUAAGUUAGGCGGGAAAGACUUCGGCGAAAACGGGGGAGGUCGUCUGAUACUGCACAACUAGAGUAUGGUAGAGGCGUGUAGAAUUCCGGGUGUAGUGGUGAAAUGCGUAGAGAUCCGGAGGAAUACCAGUGGCGAAGGCGGCACGCUGGGCCAUAACUGACGCUAAGCCUCGAAAGCAUGGGUAGCGAACGGG
This 253-nucleotide ribosomal RNA is filed under the name uncultured bacterium. Its description in RNAcentral is "partial 16S ribosomal RNA". It matches the Rfam family "Bacterial small subunit ribosomal RNA", at positions 524 to 776 of the family's 1533-position model. The record is from RNAcentral.